UACGUAGGGUGCGAGCGUUGUCCGGAAUUAUUGGGCGUAAAGAGCUUGUAGGUGGUUUGUCGCGUCUGCUGUGAAAAUCCGAGGCUCAACCUCGGACUUGCAGUGGGUACGGGCAGACUAGAGUGUGGUAGGGGAGACUGGAAUUCCUGGUGUAGCGGUGGAGUGCGCAGAUAUCAGGAGGAACACCGAUGGCGAAGGCAGGUCUCUGGGCCACUACUGACGCUGAGAAGCGAAAGCAUGGGGAGCGAACAGG
This 253-nucleotide ribosomal RNA is filed under the name uncultured bacterium. RNAcentral's name for it is "partial 16S ribosomal RNA". It matches the Rfam family "Bacterial small subunit ribosomal RNA", at positions 524 to 776 of the family's 1533-position model. The record is from RNAcentral.